CAAAAUGAAUCAAAACUUUCAACAACGGAUCUCUUGGUUCUGGCAUCGAUGAAGAACGCAGCGAAAUGCGAUAAGUAAUGUGAAUUGCAGAAUUCAGUGAAUCAUCGAAUCUUUGAACGCACAUUGCGCCCGCCAGUAUUCUGGCGGGCAUGCCUGUCCG
RNAcentral lists this ribosomal RNA (160 nucleotides) under Trichoderma koningii. Its description in RNAcentral is "5.8S ribosomal RNA". It matches the Rfam family "5.8S ribosomal RNA". From Rfam's summary of the family: 5.8S ribosomal RNA (5.8S rRNA) is a component of the large subunit of the eukaryotic ribosome. It is transcribed by RNA polymerase I as part of the 45S precursor that also contains 18S and 28S rRNA. RNAcentral also lists the same sequence under 2 other names. The record is from RNAcentral. Lineage: Eukaryota; Fungi; Ascomycota; Sordariomycetes; Hypocreales; Hypocreaceae.